UCCUUCUUCUACUCUCUCGCAAACACUCGCAAACUGCGAGGCCGAAUUAUGGCGUCCGUUAGCAACCAGAUGGCGCUAAUCAUUUUAAUUUCUCACUAGCUUUGUAAUGUUGCUCACAGCAUUGUUUGAGUAACGCAAAGCUGCUUACGUAGACGAUAGAGAAUAACGUGCCGCGGAUAAUUGCAUGUCAUGGUUUUGAAGUUGGUAACAAGGAAACGGUCAUACGGUACUGCGGCUGAGUGAAACUGAACGCUAAAAGUGGCGGGAGCAGGACGGUUGUCCGUUCUUUGUAUUUAUGGCUUCCAUGAUGGCGGCGUGCGUCCGUGCGUAUUGCCGCAGUUUGAUGUACAAGUGAGAGACAUGGACGGCAGUAUAGGUAUGUUUGCUCUUUUUUAGGUAACGAUAGUUUGUCACGCAUUCUGUUUUUCAUAAUGCAGUGAAGUUUUGCAGCGUACGGACAUAAUUUUCUAGCAGUUCAGAGAGAACACGUUUGACAACGUAGAGAGCGUUUAGUGUGUUUUUCCCCAGUUUGAGGGUUCGUUAUGAAGACGUUUGACAAGUUGAGAAGUUGUUUGAGAACUCGCUACCAAGUCCAGAACAACACUGGGAUCAGUCAAUGAAGGAUUUGCCAAGUUACAGCAGCCUUCUAUCCAUCACAAGCUUUUGGCCUGAACGCAGACAUGAUUGCUCUCAGCAGAAGAUUACUCACUUCCAUCUUCUCAGUUCAGAGGAACAAGUCAGCGUCAUUUGCAAGGUAACCACAACAGUUCUUUCACAGCGGCCUGUCCUGCAGCAUCCCAAUGAACAACUACUGUACGACCCGUAUGGGAAUUUUUUUCAUGAGCAGAUCAACAAUGCCAAGGUUACCUCACGAAGAUCCGGGUGCCUCAAGCGUCUCUACCUUCUUGGGAGGGAAAUGAAAUAGACAACUAUGUCGUGACUGUACCACGCAUCGCGAGCUCAGGAACGUCACAAAUCAAGAGCAGCAUUUGGAAGCAACAAAGAGGACAUUUAAACUGUGUGUACUCAGAUACAUAGCUUUGUUUCGGUUACUUAGUUAGUAGUUACAAGCAUAUGCUGCCUUGCGCGUUAGAAAAAUGUAUUAAAAUUGCCUUUGUAGUAAGCUGUGUAUUUUUAUAGGGACACGCUACAUCAGACAUCAGCUCUGGAUUCAUGGUGUAAAAAUCUGAUACUAACACGGCAAAUUUUGAACUGUAAUUUUGAAAAUUUAAUUUCUCAUCAUGAGAAAAUGAUUAAAUUGCUUGUAAUUUGUAACAAAAGUUAUAGAUAAAACUUAACAUUUCAAGCGAAAAUGUGCUGUGGAUGUGCAAGCUAUCGUUCCUAUCUUUUUUAGUGUGGAAGUUGACAGGACUUGUGCGUACAAAAAUUCCCUAUGAAUCUUCGGGGCAAUCUCAGAAACGACAUUAUAUUAAUUCGCUUGUAUCUGUAUGUUGAUAUAUGCAUAGUUUGCUACAAGUGCUCUUAUUUGGGCACACCAGUGCCACACCUUACCUUUUUGGCUUCAACUUCUGAAUUCAAUUCGACUUGCCUUUUAAUAUAACCGGUGUCCCGUCUCUGUUUAGUGAUUCACUGUGCCGUAAUGAGGCUGACUGGGGAACGAAUCACUCGCUGUGACAAGCCAAACUGUUCUCUUUACGCAGAUAUGGUGUCAUGCUUACGGUAUUGCACAUGUCAUUUUCGUCUGUGCAAUGUUCCAAGUAAAUGUGAUUUGUAGGAUUUUGGAUUGCUAUAGGAACUGUGCAGUUGAUACUGUGCAGUUGCUGUGAUAUUUUGUUCCUUUGAAGCUCAAAUAUAUUUGAAACCAAUAAACUGACAGUUUUUCCCUGUAUAAAA
Ornithodoros turicata is the source of this 1854-nucleotide RNA transcript. RefSeq lists it as uncharacterized. The transcript has 5 exons. Lineage: Eukaryota; Metazoa; Arthropoda; Arachnida; Ixodida; Argasidae. The record is from RefSeq and is a predicted model, not a curated record.